CCUACGGGUGCUGCAGUGGGGAAUAUUGGACAAUGGGCGAAAGCCUGAUCCAGCCAUGCCGCGUGUGUGAAGAAGGCCUUCGGGUUGUAAAGCACUUUCAGUGGGGAAGAAAGCCUUGGGGCUAAUACCCUCGAGGAAGGACAUCACCCACAGAAGAAGCACCGGCUAACUCCGUGCCAGCAGCCGCGGUAAUACGGAGGGUGCGAGCGUUAAUCGGAAUUACUGGGCGUAAAGCGCGCGUAGGCGGUCUGAUAAGCCGGUUGUGAAAGCCCCGGGCUCAACCUGGGAACGGCAUCCGGAACUGUCAGGCUAGAGUGCAGGAGAGGAAGGUAGAAUUCCCGGUGUAGCGGUGAAAUGCGUAGAGAUCGGGAGGAAUACCAGUGGCGAAGGCGGCCUUCUGGACUGACACUGACGCUGAGGUGCGAAAGCGUGGGUAGCAAACAGGAUUAGAUACCCGGGUAGUC
Molecule: ribosomal RNA, 464 nt
Filed under: Vreelandella stevensii
Lineage: Bacteria; Pseudomonadati; Pseudomonadota; Gammaproteobacteria; Oceanospirillales; Halomonadaceae
Description: partial 16S ribosomal RNA
Rfam family: Bacterial small subunit ribosomal RNA
Source: RNAcentral